ACGCUGGCGGCGUGCUCCUACAUGUGCAGUCGAACGAGUUUGCUUUUAACUGAAGGCGGUGCUUGCACCAACUGAUUUACAGAAUAAACGAGUGGCGGACGGGUGAGUAACACGUGGGUAACCUACCCUAAAGUGGGGGAUAACAUUUGGAAACAGAUGCUAAUACCGCAUAAUAUUAAAAACCACAUGGUUUUUAAUUGAAAGACGCGCGUAAGCUGUCACUUUUGGAUGGACCCGCGGCGUAUUAGCUAGUUGGUAAGGUAACGGCUUACCAAGGCGAUGAUACGUAGCCGACUUGAGAGAGUGAUCGGCCACAGUUGGGACUGAGACACGGCCCAAACUCCUACGGGAGGCAGCAGUAGGGAAUCUUCCACAAUGGACGAAAGUCUGAUGGAGCAACGCCGCGUGAGUGAAGAAGGUUUUCGGAUCAUAAAACUCUGUUAUUGGAGAAGAACGUAUUUGGUAGUAACUGGCCAGAUAGUGACGGUAUCCAAUCAGAAAGCCACGGCCUAAUAACUACGUGCCAGCAGCCGCGGUAAUACGUGGGUGGCAAGCGUUGUCCGGAUUUAUUGGGCGUAAAGCGAGUGCAGGCGGUUGGAU
This 600-nucleotide ribosomal RNA is filed under the name uncultured bacterium. RNAcentral's name for it is "bacterial SSU rRNA". It matches the Rfam family "Bacterial small subunit ribosomal RNA", at positions 33 to 584 of the family's 1533-position model. The record is from RNAcentral.